AACUUUCAGCACUGGAUCACUUGGCUCUCGCAUCGAUGAAGAACGCAGCGAAAUGCGAUACGUAAUGUGAAUUGCAGAAUUCAGUGAAUCAUCGAAUCUUUGAAAGCACCUUCAGCCCCUUGGUAUACAGAGGGGCACACCCGAUUGUAUGUCGUGAACAUCUCAACAUUCUCGGUUUCUUCUGGACACCGAAGGCGGCUUGGACUUUGGAGGCCUUUGCUUGCGCCUCUCGCCAGCUCCUCGCAAAUGAAUUAGUGGGGUCCUCUUUGCCGAUCCUCGACGUGUGAUAAGAUGUUUCCAUGUCUUGGUUUAUGGCUCUGUUGCUUUUGGGACCCGCUUCUAACCGUCUCAACGAGACAACGUUCGAGCGUGUUGAACACUCUUGAACCCACGAACCCUUGACCUCAAAUCGGGUGAGACUACCCGCUGAACUUAAGCAUAUCAAUAAGCGGAGGGU
Molecule: unclassified non-coding RNA, 457 nt
Filed under: uncultured Lactarius
Lineage: Eukaryota; Fungi; Basidiomycota; Agaricomycetes; Russulales; Russulaceae
Description: sequence contains ITS2
Rfam family: 5.8S ribosomal RNA (bases 1-154)
Source: RNAcentral